UGGGGAAUAUUGCACAAUGGGGGAAACCCUGAUGCAGCGACGCCGCGUGAGCGAAGAAGGUUUUCGAAUCGUAAAGCUCUGUCCUAUGAGAAGAUAAUGACGGUAUCAUAGGAGGAAGCCCCGGCUAAAUACGUGCCAGCAGCCGCGGUAAUACGUAUGGGGCGAGCGUUGUCCGGAAUUAUUGGGCGUAAAGGGUACGUAGGCGGUCUGUUAGGUCAGGAGUUAAAUCUGGGGGCUCAACCCCUAUCCGCUCCUGAUACCGGCAGGCUUGAGUCUGGUAGGGGAAGAUGGAAUUCCAAGUGUAGCGGUGAAAUGCGCAGAUAUUUGGAAGAACACCGGUGACGAAGGCGGUCUUCUGGGCCAUGACUGACGCUGAGGCGCGAAAGCUAGGGGAGCGAACAGG
RNAcentral lists this ribosomal RNA (403 nucleotides) under Verrucomicrobiota bacterium. RNAcentral describes it as "Verrucomicrobia bacterium partial 16S ribosomal RNA". It matches the Rfam family "Bacterial small subunit ribosomal RNA", at positions 355 to 776 of the family's 1533-position model. The record is from RNAcentral. Lineage: Bacteria; Pseudomonadati; Verrucomicrobiota.